GGUUAAGCGACUAAGCGUACACGGUGGAUGCCCUGGCAGUCAGAGGCGAUGAAGGACGUGCUAAUCUGCGAAAAGCGUCGGUAAGGUGAUAUGAACCGUUAUAACCGGCGAUGUCCGAAUGGGGAAACCCAGUGCAAUUCGUUGCACUAUCGUUAACUGAAUACAUAGGUUAACGAGGCGAACCGGGGGAACUGAAACAUCUAAGUACCCCGAGGAAAAGAAAUCAACCGAGAUUCCCCCAGUAGCGGCGAGCGAACGGGGAGCAGCCCAGAGUCUGAAUCAGCUUGUGUGUUAGUGGAACGGUCUGGAAAGUCCGACGGUACAGGGUGAUAGUCCCGUACACCAAAAUGCACAGGCUGUGAACUCGAAGAGUAGGGCGGGACACGUGGUAUCCUGUCUGAAUAUGGGGGGACCAUCCUCCAAGGCUAAAUACUCCUGACUGACCGAUAGUGAACCAGUACCGUGAGGGAAAGGCGAAAAGAACCCCGGCGAGGGGAGUGAAAAAGAACCUGAAACCGUGUACGUACAAGCAGUGGGAGCACCUUCGGGUGUGACUGCGUACCUUUUGUAUAAUGGGUCAGCGACUUAUAUUCUGUAGCAAGGUUAACCGUAUAGGGGAGCCGCAGGGAAACCGAGUCUUAACUGGGCGUUAAGUUGCAGGGUAUAGACCCGAAACCCGGUGAUCUAGCCAUGGGCAGGUUGAAGGUUGGGUAACACUAACUGGAGGACCGAACCGACUAAUGUUGAAAAAUUAGCGGAUGACUUGUGGCUGGGGGUGAAAGGCCAAUCAAACCGGGAGAUAGCUGGUUCUCCCCGAAAGCUAUUUAGGUAGCGCCUCGUGAAUUCAUCUUCGGGGGUAGAGCACUGUUUCGGCUAGGGGGUCAUCCCGACUUACCAACCGAUGCAAACUACGAAUACCGAAGAAUGUUAUCACGGGAGACACACGGCGGGUGCUAACGUCCGUCGUGAAGAGGGAAACAACCCAGACCGCCAGCUAAGGUCCCAAAGUCAUGGUUAAGUGGGAAACGAUGUGGGAAGGCACAGACAGCCAGGAUGUUGGCUUAGAAGCAGCCAUCAUUUAAAGAAAGCGUAAUAGCUCACUGGUCGAGUCGGCCUGCGCGGAAGAUGUAACGGGGCUAAACCAUGCACCGAAGCUGCGGCAGCGACACUAUGUGUUGUUGGGUAGGGGAGCGUUCUGUAAGCCUGCGAAGG
Molecule: non-coding RNA, 1212 nt
Filed under: Klebsiella pneumoniae ISC21
Lineage: Bacteria; Pseudomonadati; Pseudomonadota; Gammaproteobacteria; Enterobacterales; Enterobacteriaceae
Description: LSU rRNA
Rfam family: Bacterial large subunit ribosomal RNA
Source: RNAcentral